AGAACGAACGCUGGCGGCAUGCCUAAUACAUGCAAGUCGAACGAACACUUCGGUGUUAGUGGCGCACGGGUGCGUAACGCGUGGGAAUCUGCCCUUGGGUUCGGAAUAACAGUUGGAAACGACUGCUAAUACCGGAUGAUGACGAAAGUCCAAAGAUUUAUCGCCCAGGGAUGAGCCCGCGUAGGAUUAGCUAGUUGGUGAGGUAAAGGCUCACCAAGGCGACGAUCCUUAGCUGGUCUGAGAGGAUGAUCAGCCACACUGGGACUGAGACACGGCCCAGACUCCUACGGGAGCAGCAGUAGGGAAUAUGGACAAUGGGCGCAAGCCUGAUCCAGCAAUGCCGCGUGAGUGAUGAAGGCCUUAGGGUUGUAAAGCUCUUUACCCGAGAUGAUAAUGACAGUAUCGGAGAAUAAGCCCCGGCUAACUCCGUAGCCAGCAGCCGC
RNAcentral lists this ribosomal RNA (443 nucleotides) under uncultured soil bacterium. RNAcentral describes it as "bacterial SSU rRNA". It matches the Rfam family "Bacterial small subunit ribosomal RNA", at positions 26 to 518 of the family's 1533-position model. The record is from RNAcentral.